This 652-nucleotide ribosomal RNA is filed under the name uncultured Lachnospiraceae bacterium. Its description in RNAcentral is "bacterial SSU rRNA". It matches the Rfam family "Bacterial small subunit ribosomal RNA", at positions 68 to 738 of the family's 1533-position model. The record is from RNAcentral. Lineage: Bacteria; Bacillati; Bacillota; Clostridia; Lachnospirales; Lachnospiraceae.
UCUUCGGAAGAUUUGAUAUUUGACUGAGCGGCGGACGGGUGAGUAACGCGUGGGUAACCUGCCUCAUACAGGGGAAUAACAGUUAGAAAUGGCCGCUAAUGCCGCAUAAGCGCACAGGACCGCAUGGUCUGGUGUGAAAAACUGAGGUGGUAUGAGAUGGACCCGCGUCUGAUUAGGUAGUUGGUGGGGUAACGGCCUACCAAGCCGACGAUCAGUAGCCGGCCUGAGAGGGUGAACGGCCACAUUGGGACUGAGACACGGCCCAGACUCCUACGGGAGGCAGCAGUGGGGAAUAUUGCACAAUGGGGGAAACCCUGAUGCAGCGACGCCGCGUGAAGGAAGAAGUAUCUCGGUAUGUAAACUUCUAUCAGCAGGGAAGAAAAUGACGGUACCUGACUAAGAAGCCCCGGCUAACUACGUGCCAGCAGCCGCGGUAAUACGUAGGGGGCAAGCGUUAUCCGGAUUUACUGGGUGUAAAGGGAGCGUAGACGGAAGAGCAAGUCUGAUGUGAAAGGCUGGGGCUUAACCCCAGGACUGCAUUGGAAACUGUUUUUCUAGAGUGCCGGAGAGGUAAGCGGAAUUCCUAGUGUAGCGGUGAAAUGUGUAGAUAUUAGGAGGAACACCAGUGGCGAAGGCGGCUUACUGGACGGUA